AACGAACGCUGGCGGCAUGCCUAACACAUGCAAGUCGAACGAGACCUUCGGGUCUUGUGGCGCACGGGUGCGUAACGCGUGGGAACCUGCCCUUAGGUUCGGUAUAACUCCCCGAAAGGGAUGCUAAUACCGGAUAAUGUCUUCGGACCAAAGAUUUAUCGCGUUUGGAUGGGCCCGCGUUGGAUUAGCUAGUUGGUAGGGGAAAAGCCUACCAAGGCGACGUUCCAUAGCUGGUCUGAGAGGAUGCUCAGCCACACUGGGACUGAGACACGGCCCAGACUCCUACGGGGGGCAGCAGUGGGGAAUAUUGGACAAUGGGGGAAAGCCUGAUACAGCCAUGCCGCGGGAGUGAUGAAGGCCUUAGGGUUGUAAAGCUCUUUUACCCGGGAUGAUAAUGACAGUACCGGGAGAAUAAGCUCCGGCUAACUCCGUG
This 433-nucleotide ribosomal RNA is filed under the name uncultured bacterium. RNAcentral describes it as "partial 16S ribosomal RNA". It matches the Rfam family "Bacterial small subunit ribosomal RNA", at positions 29 to 507 of the family's 1533-position model. The record is from RNAcentral.